Molecule: ribosomal RNA, 261 nt
Filed under: uncultured archaeon
Lineage: Archaea
Description: partial 16S ribosomal RNA
Rfam family: Archaeal small subunit ribosomal RNA
Source: RNAcentral
CAGCCGUAAACAAUGUGCGUUAGGUGUGUCGGUAACCACGUGUUACUGAUGCGCCGAAGAGAAAUCGUGAAACGCACCACCUGGGAAGUACGGUCGCAAGGCUGAAACUUAAAGGAAUUGGCGGGGGAGCACCACAACAGGUGGAGCCUGCGGUUUAAUUGGAUUCAACGCCGGACAUCUCACCGGAUAAGACAGCUGAAUGAUUGUCAAUCUGAAGGUUUUACAUGACUAGCUGAGAGGUGGUGCAUGGCGUGUGACUGU